GGGAGUGUAGCUCAGGGGUAGAGCACUUGACUAGCGUGCUCAAGGCCCUGAGUUCAAUCCUCAGCCCUGCAA
Molecule: transfer RNA, 72 nt
Filed under: Neotoma lepida (desert woodrat)
Lineage: Eukaryota; Metazoa; Chordata; Mammalia; Rodentia; Cricetidae
Rfam family: tRNA
About the family: Transfer RNA (tRNA) molecules are approximately 80 nucleotides in length.
Source: Rfam by way of RNAcentral